This 218-nucleotide unclassified non-coding RNA is filed under the name uncultured Actinomycetes bacterium. Its description in RNAcentral is "uncultured actinobacterium contains 16S-23S intergenic spacer region". It matches the Rfam family "Bacterial small subunit ribosomal RNA", at positions 976 to 1198 of the family's 1533-position model. The record is from RNAcentral. Lineage: Bacteria; Bacillati; Actinomycetota; Actinomycetes.
UAGGUUUGACAUCACCCGGAAACCUCUAGAGAUAGAGGCCUCUUCGGACUGGGUGACAGGUGGUGCAUGGCUGUCGUCAGCUCGUGUCGUGAGAUGUUGGGUUAAGUCCCGCAACGAGCGCAACCCUUAUCCCGUGUUGCCAGCAUUCAGUUGGGGACUCACGGGAGACUGCCGGGGUUAACUCGGAGGAAGGUGGGGAUGACGUGAGCCUAUCGAGA